UAGCCGUAAACGAUACUCGCUAGGUGUCGGCCACGGUGCGACCGUUGUCGGUGCCGUAGGGAAGCCGUGAAGCGAGCCACCUGGGAAGUACGGCCGCAAGGCUGAAACUUAAAGGAAUUGGCGGGGGAGCACCACAACGGGUGGAGCUUGCGGUUUAAUUGGAUUCAACGCCGGAAAUCUUACCGGGACCGACAGCAACAUGAAGGCCAGGCUGAAGACUUUGCCGGAUUAGCUGAGAGGAGGUGCAUGGCGUAGUCGUGU
This 261-nucleotide ribosomal RNA is filed under the name uncultured archaeon. RNAcentral describes it as "partial 16S ribosomal RNA". It matches the Rfam family "Archaeal small subunit ribosomal RNA", at positions 748 to 1009 of the family's 1478-position model. The record is from RNAcentral.